CAGCGAGAGGUGCUUGCACCUUUCAAGCGAGUGGCGAACGGGUGAGUAACACGUGGAUAACCUGCCUCAAGGCUGGGGAUAACAUUUGGAAACAGAUGCUAAUACCGAAUAAAACUUAGUAUCGCAUGAUAUCAAGUUAAAAGGCGCUACGGCGUCACCUAGAGAUGGAUCCGCGGUGCAUUAGUUAGUUGGUGGGGUAAAGGCUUACCAAGACGAUGAUGCAUAGCCGAGUUGAGAGACUGAUCGGCCACAUUGGGACUGAGACACGGCCCAAACUCCUACGGGAGGCUGCAGUAGGGAAUCUUCCACAAUGGGCGCAAGCCUGAUGGAGCAACGCCGCGUGUGUGAUGAAGGCUUUCGGGUCGUAAAGCACUGUUGUAUGGGAAGAAAUGCUAAAAUAGGGAAUGAUUUUAGUUUGACGGUACCAUACCAGAAAGGGACGGCUAAAUACGUGCCAGCAGCCGCGGUAAUACGUAUGUCCCGAGCGUUAUCCGGAUUUAUUGGGCGUAAAGCGAGCGCAGACGGUUGAUUAAGUCUGAUGUGAAAGCCCGGAGCUCAACUCCGGAAUGGCAUUGGAAACUGGUUAACUUGAGUGUUGUAGAGGUAAGUGGAACUCCAUGU
This 621-nucleotide ribosomal RNA is filed under the name Leuconostoc sp. Its description in RNAcentral is "bacterial SSU rRNA". It matches the Rfam family "Bacterial small subunit ribosomal RNA", at positions 67 to 674 of the family's 1533-position model. The record is from RNAcentral. Lineage: Bacteria; Bacillati; Bacillota; Bacilli; Lactobacillales; Lactobacillaceae.